This 446-nucleotide ribosomal RNA is filed under the name uncultured bacterium. RNAcentral describes it as "partial 16S ribosomal RNA". It matches the Rfam family "Bacterial small subunit ribosomal RNA", at positions 338 to 795 of the family's 1533-position model. The record is from RNAcentral.
CCUACGGGAGGCAGCAGUCGAGAAUCAUUCACAAUGGGGGAAACCCUGAUGGUGCGACGCCGCGUGGGGGAAUGAAGGUCUUCGGAUUGUAAACCCCUGUCAUGUGGGAGCAAAUUAAAAAGAUAGUAACACAAGAGGAAGAGACGGCUAACUCUGUGCCAGCAGCCGGGGUAAUACAGAGGUCUCAAGCGUUGUGCGGAAUCACUGGGCGUAAAGCGUGCGUAGGCUGUUUCGUAAGUCGUGGGUGAAAGGCUCGGGCUCCACCCGCGGACGGCACAUUAUACUGGGAGCCUAGAGUAAUGGAGGGGGAACCGGAAUUCUCGGUGUAGCAGUGAAAUGCGUAGAUAUCGAGAGGAACACUCGUGGCGAAGGCGGGUUCCUGGACAUUAACUGACGCUGAGGCACGAAGGCCAGGGGAGCGAAAGGGAUUAGAUACCCUUGUAGUC